UCCACGCCCUAAACGAUGAAUGCUAGUCGGUCGGAAAGCUCGUCUUUUCGGUGAUGCAGUUAACACAUUAAGCAUUCCGCCUGGGGAGUACGGUCGCAAGAUUAAAACUCAAAGGAAUAGACGGGGACCCGCACAAGUGGUGGAGCAUGUGGUUUAAUUCGAAAAUACGCGAAGAACCUUACCAAGCCUUGACAUUGAUUGAACAGACUAGAGAUAGACUGGUGCCUUUCGAG
This 233-nucleotide ribosomal RNA is filed under the name uncultured bacterium. RNAcentral's name for it is "partial 16S ribosomal RNA". It matches the Rfam family "Bacterial small subunit ribosomal RNA", at positions 794 to 1024 of the family's 1533-position model. The record is from RNAcentral.